RNAcentral lists this small RNA (893 nucleotides) under uncultured Acidimicrobium sp. RNAcentral's name for it is "bacterial SSU rRNA". The stretch from base 1 to 471 matches the Rfam family "Bacterial small subunit ribosomal RNA", at positions 1064 to 1533 of the family's 1533-position model. The record is from RNAcentral. Lineage: Bacteria; Bacillati; Actinomycetota; Acidimicrobiia; Acidimicrobiales; Acidimicrobiaceae.
GUCGUGAGAUGUUGGGUUAAGUCCCGCAACGAGCGCAACCCCUAUCCUAUGUUGCCAGCGCGUUAUGGCGGGGACUCGUAGGAGACUGCCGGUGCCAAACCGGAGGAAGGUGGGGAUGACGUCAAGUCCUCAUGCCCCUUACGUCCAGGGCUGCACACAUGCUACAAUGGCCGGUACAGAGGGCUGCGAUCCCGCGAGGGGGAGCUAAUCCCAAAAAGCCGGUCUCAGUUCGGAUCGUAGUCUGCAACUCGACUGCGUGAAGUCGGAGUCGCUAGUAAUCGCAGAUCAGCAUUGCUGCGGUGAAUACGUUCCCGGGCCUUGUACACACCGCCCGUCACACCACGAAAGUUGGUAACACCCGAAGCCGGUGGCCCAACCCUUGGGAGGGAGCCGUCGAAGGUGGGAUCAGCGAUUGGGGUGAAGUCGUAACAAGGUAGCCGUACCGGAAGGUGCGGCUGGAUCACCUCCUUUCUAAGGAGCGCACACUGCCGGCAUUCUCACAAAUGCCGGGAGCUCCUACGUUGAUCACUGGCCGAGUCGUCGAUCCCGGUAGACCGAACGCCUCCCGCUCUCUCGAGCUUCACGAGGGCUGGAGGACUAGUAGGGCCGAGUUCGCCGGCGCGGCGUCACUGUUCCGUUGUGAGGGCGCUGUCCCUCGAGGCCGUCUCGGCCGCCACCGUCGUCCGCACGCUCGACGACGCGCGGCCGGGCCUCAUCGCCCCUUGAGAGCUGAAGAGCGAGCACGAGCAUCUUUUCUAUAGCAAGAGUGCAAGAUGAACUCCCAAGCUAUGAAGAGCCAACGGUGGAUGCCUUGGCGCCAGAUGCCGAUGAAGGACGUGGGUGGCUGCGAAAAGCCACGGGGAGCCGCCGACCAGGCUUUGAUCCGUGGAUCU